This 167-nucleotide ribosomal RNA is filed under the name Choerodon anchorago (orange-dotted tuskfish). RNAcentral describes it as "partial 12S rRNA". Lineage: Eukaryota; Metazoa; Chordata; Actinopteri; Labriformes; Labridae. The record is from RNAcentral.
CGCGGUUAUACGAGAGGUCCGAAUUGACAAACAAACGGCGUAAAGCGUGGUUAUGAGACAUCACUAAACUAAAGCCAAAUGCCCACAAAGCUGUAUUACGCACUCGAGGGCCUGAGACUCAACAACGAAAGUGGCUUUACAAACCUGAACCCACGAAAGCCAUGAAA